Molecule: ribosomal RNA, 459 nt
Filed under: uncultured bacterium
Lineage: Bacteria
Description: partial 16S ribosomal RNA
Rfam family: Bacterial small subunit ribosomal RNA
Source: RNAcentral
CCUACGGGGAGCAGCAGUGAGGAAUAUUGGUCAAUGGACGCGAGUCUGAACCAGCCAAGUCGCGUGAAGGAUGACUGCCCUAUGGGUUGUAAACUUCUUUUAUAAAGGAAUAAUACGAGGCACGUGUGCCUUUUUGCACGUACUUUAUGAAUAAGCAUCGGCUAACUCCGUGCCAGCAGCCGCGGUAAUACGGAGGAUCCGAGCGUUAUCCGGAUUUAUUGGGUUUAAAGGGAGCGUAGAUGGUUUGUUAAGUUAGUUGUGAAAGUUUGCGGCUCAACCGUAAAUUUGCAAUUGAUACUGGCAAUCUUGAGUACAACUGAGGUAAGCGGAAUUCGUGUGUAGCGGGGAAAUGCUUAGAUAUCACGAAGAACCCCGAUUGCGAAGGCAGCUUACUAAACUGUGACUGACAUUGAUGCUCGAGAGUGUGGGUAGCAAACAGGAUUAGAUACCCCAGUAGUC